This 424-nucleotide ribosomal RNA is filed under the name uncultured Prevotella sp. RNAcentral describes it as "bacterial SSU rRNA". It matches the Rfam family "Bacterial small subunit ribosomal RNA", at positions 355 to 776 of the family's 1533-position model. Lineage: Bacteria; Pseudomonadati; Bacteroidota; Bacteroidia; Bacteroidales; Prevotellaceae. The record is from RNAcentral.
UGAGGAAUAUUGGUCAAUGGGCGAGAGCCUGAACCAGCCAAGUAGCGUGCAGGACGACGGCCCUAUGGGUUGUAAACUGCUUUUAUGUGGGGAUAAAGUGCGCGACGUGUCGUGCAUUGCAGGUACCACAUGAAUAAGGACCGGCUAAUUCCGUGCCAGCAGCCGCGGUAAUACGGAAGGUCCGGGCGUUAUCCGGAUUUAUUGGGUUUAAAGGGAGCGUAGGCUGUCUAUUAAGCGUGUUGUGAAAUAUACCGGCUCAACCGGUGGCUUGCAGCGCGAACUGGUCGACUUGAGUAUGCAGGAAGUAGGCGGAAUUCAUGGUGUAGCGGUGAAAUGCUUAGAUAUCAUGACGAACUCCGAUUGCGCAGGCAGCUUACUGUAGCAUAACUGACGCUGAUGCUCGAAAGUGCGGGUAUCAAACAGG